RNAcentral lists this ribosomal RNA (252 nucleotides) under Triticum aestivum (bread wheat). RNAcentral describes it as "partial small subunit ribosomal RNA". Lineage: Eukaryota; Viridiplantae; Streptophyta; Magnoliopsida; Poales; Poaceae. The record is from RNAcentral.
AUGAAUUGUAUGAGCUGGAACUGCCCGGGGCUUGGGAACCCCGAGGCAGUUCGCGAGCUUCGCAGCAUUGUGAAGCACGAAGUUCCCGCCCUGUUGUUCGUUAUGGAAACCAAAAUCAGGGCUAAGCGAGUUGAAGAUCUAUGAUACCAGUUGGGUUUCGUGGGAUGCUUUGCGGUUGAUAGUGAGGGACUGAGAGGAGUUAUUGGCCUCUUUUGGUCCAAGGACUAUGAUGUGCAAAUGAAAAACUACAGU